RNAcentral lists this small nuclear RNA (21 nucleotides) under Arabidopsis thaliana (thale cress). RNAcentral's name for it is "snRNA_02061". The record is from RNAcentral. Lineage: Eukaryota; Viridiplantae; Streptophyta; Magnoliopsida; Brassicales; Brassicaceae.
UGUUCCCAUGGUGGAAGAUUG